UACAGAGGUGCCGAGCGUUAGGCGGAAUCACUGGGCUUAAAGCGUGUGUAGGCGGACUUCUAAGUACCUUGUGAAAUCCUACGGCUUACCCGUGGAACUGCUGGGUAUACUGGUCGUCUUGAGCCACCUAGGGGCCAGCGGAACAAAUGGUGGAGCGGUGAAAUGCGUAGAUAUCAUUUGGAACGCCAACGGUGAAAACAGCUGGCUGGGGGGUGUGCUGACGCUGAGACACGAAAGCCAGGGGAGCGAACGGG
Molecule: ribosomal RNA, 254 nt
Filed under: uncultured bacterium
Lineage: Bacteria
Description: partial 16S ribosomal RNA
Rfam family: Bacterial small subunit ribosomal RNA
Source: RNAcentral